Molecule: ribosomal RNA, 409 nt
Filed under: uncultured bacterium
Lineage: Bacteria
Description: partial 16S ribosomal RNA
Rfam family: Bacterial small subunit ribosomal RNA
Source: RNAcentral
UGGGGAAUAUUGCACAAUGGGGGAAACCCUGAUGCAGCGACGCAGCGUGCGGGAUGACGGCCUUCGGGUUGUAAACCGCUUUCAGCAGGGAAGAAGCCUCACGGUGACGGUACCUGCAGAAGAAGUACCGGCUAACUACGUGCCAGCAGCCGCGGUAAUACGUAGGGUACGAGCGUUGUCCGGAAUUAUUGGGCGUAAAGAGCUCGUAGGUGGUUGGUCACGUCUGCUGUGGAAACGCAACGCUUAACGUUGCGCGUGCAGUGGGUACGGGCUGACUAGAGUGCAGUAGGGGAGUCUGGAAUCCCUGGUGUAGCGGUGAAAUGCGCAGAUAUCAGGAGGAACACCGGUGGCGAAGGCGGGACUCUGGGCUGUAACUGACACUGAGGAGCGAAAGCAUGGGGAGCGAACA